GAAGCCCGCCAGACUGCCGCUGGUGCAAUCUGGGAAACCAGGCACUGGAGGAACGUCCGGACUGCAUAGGGCAGCGUAGCAGCUAACAGCUGUCCACUGAAAGCCCGCCGCGCAAGUGGUGGGUAUAAGGUGAGGAUUAGAGCAACAGAGACGAGCCGAUUCAGUUCGGGUGAAACGGGCAAUCUCUACGCGCAGCAAUACCAAGUAGGCCAGCGUUGAUGGGGCCCCCAGAGCUGGCGGGUAGGUAGCACCGAGCCGUUGGGUGACCAACGGCCCAGAUUAAUGGCAGUCACUUCUGCAGGCCCGCAAGGACCUGCCGUUGCACAGAAUCCGGCUUAUCGGUGGGCUUCACAC
RNAcentral lists this RNase P RNA (354 nucleotides) under Rhodoferax sp. RNAcentral describes it as "RNase P RNA component class A". It matches the Rfam family "Bacterial RNase P class A". Rfam says of the family: Ribonuclease P (RNase P) is a ubiquitous endoribonuclease, found in archaea, bacteria and eukarya as well as chloroplasts and mitochondria. Its best characterised activity is the generation of mature 5'-ends of tRNAs by cleaving the 5'-leader elements of precursor-tRNAs. Lineage: Bacteria; Pseudomonadati; Pseudomonadota; Betaproteobacteria; Burkholderiales; Comamonadaceae. The record is from RNAcentral.